AUUCCCCCAUCGUCUUACUUCCAUUAGGCUUUUGUUCUCACCAGUCCCCUGAAUUCACACUUGUGAAGGUAACCAAGUGACUUCUAACCUGCCAAAUCCACAGUUAAGUCUCAGUUCUACUCUAAUUGAACCACUCAGCAGCAUUUGACAGUUAAUCAACUGGAAACCCUUUCUUCUCUUGGUUUUCAGGAUACCUUCUCCUAGUUUCUCCAGCUUUGCCAAAUGCCCUCAUUUACAGCUCUGCUUCUGACCUCUAAAUAACAGAAUGCCCGAGGUUCACCCUUUUGACACCUUUGUGUAUAUCCAUUCUACAUAUACUCCUCUCAAAGAAUGACAUGGAGGCAAUUAAUUAUGUGCCAGCAGAUUUACUCAUAUGAAGGAGAGAAUCAGUAGGUGAUUGUCAGCAGUCCUGAGCCAUGACGGGAACUCCAGUUUGGGAAUAUUCUUGGCUGUUAAUUCUUCAAAUAUUGCUGGUGCUCUGUUCUCCCUUUUCCUUCUGGUAUUCCAGUGACAUUUGUGUUUAAGCCAUUUGCUCUUGCCUCAAAAUUUCUUCAAUGCUCAGUUCUAGGUGUAUUUUUUUCCCACUCUUUUUCUCCUUGUGUUUCCAUUUCGGUAAUUUCUAUUGACUAAUUUUCAACUUCAUUCAUUUUUUUUCCUGGCUGCAUCAAGUCUACUAGUGAGUCUGUUAGUGGCAUUCUUCUCUACUACUGAAACUUUCACUUAAUAGCAUUUUUAUUUUAAUCUUCCUCAUGGUCACCAUCUCUCUGCUAAAAUCAUCCAUCAGACCUGGCAUGUUAUCUAAAUAGAGAAAAAGACUGAAAAUGGGCAGAGAUUCCCCCAAUUUUUGCAGCCUCCAAGAGCUUUACUCUGCCCUGCUAGGCUGUACUUGGUCUUCAUCAAGUCAUCAACUGGAUUCUUAACUCUUCUAACCGGUUGCAUCUGACCCAGGUAGGAAGCGCUCAAGUCUUCUCUCUUACUACAGGUGAUUGUCUCUUAGAUCUUUGGCCAGUUGUUUGCUUUGCAACCUCAACUCUCUGAUAAUGCAGCUGGCAUCAUUACACCCCCAGGAGAAAUUCCACACCCUGAUCUCCUGUGCUGUGAAUGUGAUGAGAUAACCCAUUCUUGAGUAUAUUACCUUCCUUGAGAUUUUGCAGAUUAAUUAAGGUUACCAAUCAGUUGACCUUAUGAUAGGGAGAUUAUCCUUAAUUGUUUGGAAUGGCCAAAUGUAAUCAUAUAAGCCCUUUAAAAGCAGGUAACUUUUUCUCCGGCUGGUGGCAGAAAAAAGAUUUGCAGCAUGACAGGGACUCUUUAGUUUGUUACUGGUUCGGAGAUAAAAGGGAGCCAUGUGAGAAGGAACGUGGUCGGCCUCUUGAAACAGAGAACAUUACACUGAUAGCCAGCAAGAAAAUUCAGAUUUCAGACCUACUAUCACAGGGAACUGAAUUCAGGCAACAAUCUGAAUGAGCUUGGACAUGGAUUCUUCACUAGAGCUUCCAGAAAGUAAUGUAAUCCUGCCAAAAAUCUUGUUUUCUGCCCUAAUCAGACAACCCAGCUAAGCUAUGCCCAGCCUUCUGAACUAGAGUAAUUGUGAAAUGAUCUUUUUUUUUUUUAAGCCCCUAAAUUUAUGGCAAUUGUUGUGUGGCAGCAAAAGAUGAGUUCAAGGGGAAAAAUCGUGAAUUUGAAGUUAGCUUCAUUCUUUUUCAUUGUAAAGGUAGGAGCAGUGCACUUUCUGGCUUUCUGCACUCCAGGAAAGAAACUGAAAGUCCAUGCCCCCAAUCUUCUAUUUUGACUUGGAAAGCCCUGGGUGGAAGGUACCUACUUUUGGAAACUGUUUAGUAAGUCAUGGGGUCAGAUAGUGAGUGGAACUGGAUAUAAAGAUUGGAGGAAUUUAAGCAUAUUUAUUCUAGGAAGUGUGUACUCAUGGGCAUAUGUUUUAGAGCUUAAGAAUUUGUGUGUGUGUGUGUGUGUGGCCUUUGUUUGUUCGUUGCUUUUUAGGGCCACACCCCCGGCAUAUAGAAUUUCCCAGGCUAGGUGUCAAUUCGGAGCUACAGCUACUAGCCUACACCGCAGCCUCAGCAACUCGGGCUCCCAGCCGCAUCUGUGACCUACACCACAGCUCAAGGCAACGCCGGAUCCCUGACACACUGAGGGAGGCCAGGGAUGGAACCCGCAUCCUCAUGGAUACUAGUUGGGUUCGUUUCCACUGAGCCACAAUGAGAACUCCUGGUAUAGUUUUAAGACUGAUUUUCCUUGAUGUCUCUUAAUAUAUUCAUUUUCCAAGUUGUUUAUUACAGAGAAAUUAUCCAGUGGUAUCCUUGGCUGGGAAUAGAGUUUGCAUCUAUCAGGAGUAGGACUGUGUACAUGAGUAGUUAACAGUAUUCAUUACAACUAUUCAAUUUAUCUUACCAGGAUUUGGGGAUGAUGUUGAUAAUAAAGUUUUCUUUUAAUGACAGCGCCAUGUGUAAUUUAUAGUUUUUGAAGUAUUUUACCUGUACUGUAAAGUUUUUGUUUGUUUAUCCAUACAGAGUAUUGAAGAUAUUCGCUAAGGGAAAAAUAAAAAUCCAUAAGCUGUUUCGUGACUGUUAAAGCAUUUGCUUUUUUUUUUCUUUUUUUGGCCACACCUGAGGCACAUGGAAGUUACCAGGGCCAGAGAUGGAAUCCAAGCCACGGCUUCGACCCAAGCCACUGAAGUCAGAUUCUUAACCUACUCUGCCACAAUGGGAACUCCAGCAUUUGCCUUUUAUUAGAGAAAAUCCUGAUCCAACCAGAAGAUGUAUAAACUAUUAUUAAACAUAUUUUAAGUUUUGAAAUAACCGAAUGAAAUUUAUAUAGAAAUGCUUAAAUGCCUUGAGGCUGGGUUCCAAGUUACAGUUUUUCCAGAUGAUGAUGAUUAGAGAUAAAGCGAAAUUUGGUCCUCCACUUUUUCCAGAUAAAAUUUGUCCCCUUAUUUUUGUAAAUUUAGAGCACAUUAAUCCCUAUCACUUGGAUUAUUUUUGUGAUAUAAGUAUUAAAGGUCUAGAGAUGGUUUGGGAUGACAUCAACCAGUAUGAGGAUUGUUUGAAAUACCCAGUCUCUUUUCCUCCCGUCCUUCCCUCAUUCCUCCCUUUCUCUCUCCUGAUGUGGGGCCAAUUUCUGGCAACUCAUACAUCCUUCUUAUUUAGAAAUUAAACCUUUGCUUUUUGUAUAAUGAAUAUAAAACCAGUAAGGGCUACUUCUUUGUACAGUAGAAACUUUAAGUUUUAAAAGUGGUAUCUUUAGUGUGGGCUUUAAUUUUGUACAUAUUAAAUAGCUUUAGACAUUGGAUUGUUACAAAGCAAUUAAACUUUUAAAAGUGUUGAUUAAAGUAUGAGAAAACCAGAAAACCUCUUUGCUGUUGUAGCUUUGGUGACAAUAUUUUAGGUAACAAUAUUUUUCUUUAAAUAGCCCAAGCACUUAAAACUUAAGGAGCAAAAUUUCUUUUUCUUUUUAAGAAAUAUGUGAGUUACUCUUAUUUACAUACACUUUUUUUUUUUUUUUGCUUUUUAGGGCCAUAUGCCAGUCCCCAGGCUAGAGGUCAAAUCAGAGCUACAGCUUCCUGCCUACACCACAGCCACAGCAACAUGGGAACAUGGUAUCCAAGCCACAUCUGCGACCUAUACCACAGCUCACGGCAACAUGGGAUCCUUAACCCACUGAGCAAGGCCGGGGAUCGAACCCGAGUCCUCAUGGAUAUUAGUUGGAUUCGUUUCCACUGCACCACAAUGGGAACUCCCUGAUUGACUUUGAAAUGUUAAACCAACCUUAUUGUCCUGAGAUAAACCUUAUUUGGACAUGCUGUACUAUACUUUAUAAAUUAAGUGAUUUUUGCAUC
Molecule: long non-coding RNA, 3850 nt
Filed under: Sus scrofa (pig)
Lineage: Eukaryota; Metazoa; Chordata; Mammalia; Artiodactyla; Suidae
Description: lncRNA (ENSSSCG00055011987.1)
Source: RNAcentral